UAACGAAUAUUCCGCAAUGCGCGAAAGCGUGACGGAGCGAUGCCGCGUGCAGGAUGAAGCCCCUCGGGGUGUAAACUGCUGUCAGGGUUCAGCAACACAAUGAGCAGACCCAGAGGAAGAGACGGCUAACUCUGUGCCAGCAGCCGCGGUAAUACAGAGGUCUCGAGCGUUAAUCGGAGUCACUGGGCUUAAAGGGUGCGUAGGCGGGCCCGCAAGUGCUUUGUGAAAUCCCAUGGCUUAACCAUGGAACGGCUUGGCAGACUGCGGACCUUGAGGUCGGUAGAGGCUGCUGGAACUCUAGGUGGAGCGGUGAAAUGCGUAGAUAUCUAGAGGAACGCCGAUGGUGAAGACAGGCAGCUGGGCCGAUUCUGACGCUGAGGCACGAAAGCGUGGGGAGCGAACGGGAUUAGAUACCCCCGUAGUCC
This 425-nucleotide ribosomal RNA is filed under the name uncultured bacterium. Its description in RNAcentral is "bacterial SSU rRNA". It matches the Rfam family "Bacterial small subunit ribosomal RNA", at positions 355 to 796 of the family's 1533-position model. The record is from RNAcentral.